UGACGGGUCGUGAUGGGCACU
Molecule: microRNA, 21 nt
Filed under: Physcomitrium patens
Lineage: Eukaryota; Viridiplantae; Streptophyta; Bryopsida; Funariales; Funariaceae
Description: ppt-miR1033a
Source: miRBase by way of RNAcentral